UAUGUGAUCGUCUCUCGCAUAUCAAUAAGCGGAGGAAAAGAAACUAACAAGGAUUCCCCUAGUAACGGCGAGUGAAGCGGGAAGAGCUCAAAUUUGAAAUCCUAAAGGGUUUCCCUUUACGAAUUGUAGUUUAAAGAAGUGUUUUCUGUUGAGGUUUUGGUAAAAGUUCUUUGGAAUAGGACAUCAUAGAGGGUGAGAAUCCCGUAUUUGACCUUUACUUUCAACUUUGUGAUACACUUUCAAAGAGUCGGAUUGUUUGGGAAUGCAGUCCAAAAUGGGUGGUAAAUUUCAUCUAAAGCUAAAUAUUGGCGAGAGACCGACAGCGAACAAGUACCGUGAGGGAAAGAUGAAAAGAACUUUGAAAAGAGAGUUAAACAGUACGUGAAAUUGUCAAAAGGGAAGCGUUUGACACCAGUGUUGUUUUUCUGAAAAUCAAUUAAAGAACUGUUUAUGCUAAGCUGUUUAGACUUUAUCAGCUAACUGUUUAGUUUUGAGCUUUUCUUUAAUGCACUUUUCAGUUAACAAGUCAACAUCAAUUUCUUUUGCUGUAAAAAAGCUUGAGGAAGGUGGCUUGAGAUUCGUCUUAAGUGUUUAUAGCCUCUUGCCUAUGCAGUCGGAGAGAUUGAGGUCUGCAGCGUAGAUCCUUCGGGGCUAAAUGCAUUUGUGCUAAGUUAUAGCAUUUUAUAGACAACUUGUUGACUAUGAUUUGUCUCGUAGCUUACUCGCUUAUGUUAUUUUACCUACGCUUAGGAUGUUGAUCUACAGAGCGAGAGU
This 774-nucleotide ribosomal RNA is filed under the name uncultured Neocallimastigales. RNAcentral describes it as "partial large subunit ribosomal RNA". It matches the Rfam family "Eukaryotic large subunit ribosomal RNA", at positions 24 to 635 of the family's 3401-position model. The record is from RNAcentral. Lineage: Eukaryota; Fungi; Neocallimastigomycota; Neocallimastigomycetes; Neocallimastigales.